RNAcentral lists this ribosomal RNA (492 nucleotides) under uncultured bacterium. RNAcentral's name for it is "bacterial SSU rRNA". It matches the Rfam family "Bacterial small subunit ribosomal RNA", at positions 28 to 507 of the family's 1533-position model. The record is from RNAcentral.
GAUGAACGCUAGCUACAGGCUUAACACAUGCAAGUCGAGGGGAAACGACAUCGAAAGCUUGCUUUUGAUGGGCGUCGACCGGCGCACGGGUGAGUAACGCGUAUCCAACCUGCCCACCACUUGGGGAUAACCUUGCGAAAGUAAGACUAAUACCCAAUGAUAUCUCUAGAAGACAUCUGAAAGAGAUUAAAGAUUUAUCGGUGAUGGAUGGGGAUGCGUCUGAUUAGCUUGUUGGCGGGGUAACGGCCCACCAAGGCGACGAUCAGUAGGGGUUCUGAGAGGAAGGUCCCCCACAUUGGAACUGAGACACGGUCCAAACUCCUACGGGAGGCAGCAGUGAGGAAUAUUGGCCAAUGGGCGAGAGCCUGAACCAGCCAAGUAGCGUGCAGGAAGACGGCCCUAUGGGUUGUAAACUGCUUUUAUAGGGGAAUAAAGUGAGCCACGUGUGGUUUUUUGCAUGUACCCUAUGAAUAAGGACCGGCUAAUUCCGUG